UUGAAACGACUAGGACGGACAAGGACCUAACACAUGCAAGUCGAACGGUAACAGGAAGAAGCUUGCUUCUUUGCUGACGAGUGGCGGACGGGUGAGUAACACGUGGAUAACCUACCUAUAAGACUGGGAUAACUUCGGGAAACCGGAGCUAAUACCGGAUGUGCCCUUCGGGGGAAAAGAUUUAUCGCCUUUAGAGCGGCCCGCGUCUGAUUAGCUUGUUGGUGGGGUAAUGGCCCACCAAGGCUACGAUCAGUAGCUGGUCUGAGAGGA
Molecule: ribosomal RNA, 270 nt
Filed under: uncultured bacterium
Lineage: Bacteria
Description: partial 16S ribosomal RNA
Rfam family: Bacterial small subunit ribosomal RNA
Source: RNAcentral